Non-coding RNA from Arachis ipaensis, 1497 nucleotides. Lineage: Eukaryota; Viridiplantae; Streptophyta; Magnoliopsida; Fabales; Fabaceae. The record is from RefSeq and is a predicted model, not a curated record.
CUGGUAUAGAUAUGAAGUUUCCAGAGAAAGACACAAUUCAAGACCAGACUCAUCAAAAAGAUCAGCUCCAAAUGCAAAUCUCAACCAUGUUCUUGCCACUCCAGCCACAGCCUAUGAUCUAGCUUGGUAUCCAAACUUUGAAGCCACACAUCAUAUGUCUCAUGAUUUAAGCAAUUUGAUGGAAAAGAUAGAUUAUAAAGGAAGAAGAAAUUAAUUUCCUAUUGGGUCAAAAAGUUAGAGCAGUCCACUUUGAUCAAUGAAUUAAUUUAGCUUUGUGCAAACAUUAAUUAAACAUAAAGUGGCUGAAUGUUAGAAUCAAAGUGGCCCAUAUCACAAGCCCAUUAACCAAUAUUGAAGGAUCAAAAGAAAGAACCCAAAGGUUCUCAAAGCAAGCCACGGUUACCUAAUACAUUGUGUAAUGGAAUUCAAAAUUCAAUUUGCUUUAUUGCAUGCAUAGGUAACCGAAACUCAAAAUUAAAUUGAGUUUAAUUGAGCAUUGAAAGCUUUGUCUCUUGUCUCUCUUGCUUUCGGUCAUAUCAUGUCAAUCAGAAAAGAAGAUAAAAGCAAGUUAUCAGAGGAGAUCAUCAGUGGCCUAAUGGAAGAAAAGGUUAGGAUGAAGAAAGGCUAGUGAAGUUCAUCUCAGAAGAAAGAUCUAAAGUAAGGCAUGGCAAGAUCUUUGACAUUGAAGGCAAGAUUUUGAAGAAGAGCUUCAAGAUUUUCCAUACCAAGAAAAGAAGCAAUCCGCCUCUGUCAGAGAGGAAGAUCUCAGUUGCAAAAGUUCACUGUCAUUUUUGUUCAUAAAAAAAGAAUGUAGCCGCCGAGCUACACAUAAGAAGAAGCAAAAAUGGAAAGCAAGGAGCUGUCCUGGGUCAGAAGAUCAUCAAGGGUCUGAAUCCUUUCUUGGAGCCAAAGACAAGAUCAAGGGUUCAGAUUGAAGGAUCUUGAUGAAAAGGGUUGAGAGAGGUACAUGCAUGUUGGUUUUUAGUUUUUCCUCUCUCUUCUCUUUGUCCGAACCGCUACUGUUUUGGUUGGAGAAGAAGUUGCUGGGUUGGUUAAACCAGUUUCAACCUUGGAAGCUUCCCCUUCUAUAAUAAGGGUGAACGGCCAAAGGUUGAGAUCAAGGAGAGAAAGUGAAAAAGCACAGAGUUCUCAUAGCUACCCAAGCUUCCUAAGUUCUUCUCCUUCAAUGGUGUUCAUUUUAUUUUCUUUUUCUUAGUAUUGUCUGUCUGAAUCUCAUAGUGAAAAAGGCAAACAUGGUGAGGUUUGUAAGAAAAAGCAAGUGAGAGAAAAAAGGCAGUGAUCAAUAUUAGAGAAAAAGCCAUAGAUGUCUUAGAGUUUCUUUGUACAUCUGUAUGUUGUGUUUCAUGAUCCUGUGGGGAUUUUCUUACAAGUUGGGUUAGCAUUUUACAAUUGAAAGCUAGGUUUUGAGUCCUAGUCAAAUUCAGAUUGGGUGUAGAAUCUGGGUUUGUCCCUAAUAGGAUUGGGUAGAUCCUAGGG